GACGAACGCUGGCGGCGUGCUUAACACAUGCAAGUCGAACGGAAAUGCCCUGCUUUUGUGGGGUGCUCGAGUGGCGAACGGGUGAGUAACACGUGAGUCACCUGCCCUUGACUUUGGGAUAACUUCAGGAAACUGGGGCUAAUACCGGAUAGGAGCUCCUGCUGCAUGGUGGGGGUUGGAAAGUUUCGGCGGUUGGGGAUGGACUCGCGGCUUAUCAGCUUGUUGGUGGGGUAGUGGCUUACCAAGGCUUUGACGGGUAGCCGGCCUGAGAGGGUGACCGGCCACAUUGGGACUGAGAUACGGCCCAGACUCCUACGGGAGGCAGCAGUGGGGAAUAUUGCACAAUGGGCGGAAGCCUGAUGCAGCAACGCCGCGUGCGGGAUGACGGCCUUCGGGUUGUAAACCGCUUUCGCCUGUGACGAAGCGUGAGUGACGGUAAUGGGUAAAGAAGCACCGGCUAACUACGUG
This 468-nucleotide ribosomal RNA is filed under the name uncultured bacterium. Its description in RNAcentral is "partial 16S ribosomal RNA". It matches the Rfam family "Bacterial small subunit ribosomal RNA", at positions 28 to 507 of the family's 1533-position model. The record is from RNAcentral.